Molecule: ribosomal RNA, 782 nt
Filed under: uncultured bacterium
Lineage: Bacteria
Description: bacterial SSU rRNA
Rfam family: Bacterial small subunit ribosomal RNA
Source: RNAcentral
AGAGUUUGAUCAUGGCUCAGGACGAACGCUGGCGGCGUGCUUAACACAUGCAAGUCGAGCGGAAAGGCCCUUUGGGGUACUCGAGCGGCGAACGGGUGCGUAACACGUGGGCAACUUUCCCUUCGGUGGGGGGAUACCCCCGCGAAAGCGGGACUAAUACCGCAUAACACUCCCUUGGUUAGCUCUGAGGGAUUCAAAGCAGCAAUGCGCCGGAAGAGGGGCCCGCGGCCGAUUAGCUAGUUGGUGAGGUAACGGCUCACCAAGGCAAAGAUCGGUAGCCGGUCUGAGAGGAUGAUCGGCCACACUGGAACUGAGACACGGUCCAGACUCCUACGGGAGGCAGCAGUGGGGAAUCUUGCGCAAUGGGCGAAAGCCUGACGCAGCGACGCCGCGUGGGGGAUGAAGCUUUUCGGAGCGUAAACCCCUUUCGACCCGGACGAAUGCCCGCAAGGGCUUGACGGUACGGGUAGAAGAAGCCCCGGCUAACUACGUGCCAGCAGCCGCGGUAAAACGUAGGGGGCCAGCGUUGCUCGGAAUUACUGGGCGUAAAGGGUCUGUAGGCGGUGCGGCAAGUCGGAAGUGAAAUCUCAGGGCUUAACUCUGGGGCUGCUCCCGAAACUGCCGUGCUAGAGUGCGAGAUAGGCGAGUGGAAUUGCAGGUGUAGCGGUGAAAUGCGUAGAUAUCUGCAGGAACAUCCGAGGCGAAAGCGGCUCGCUCGAUCGCAACUGACGCUGAGAGACGAAAGCUAGGGGAGCAAACAGGAUUAGAUACCCCGGUAGUCC